RNAcentral lists this unclassified non-coding RNA (405 nucleotides) under soil metagenome. RNAcentral's name for it is "partial contains 5.8S ribosomal RNA, internal transcribed spacer 2, and large subunit ribosomal RNA". The stretch from base 1 to 121 matches the Rfam family "5.8S ribosomal RNA", at positions 35 to 154 of the family's 154-position model. The record is from RNAcentral.
GAUGAAGAACGUAGCGAAAUGCGAUAAGUAAUGUGAAUUGCAGAAUUCAGUGAAUCAUCGAAUCUUUGAACGCACCUUGCGCCCUUUGGCCAUUCCGAAGGGCAUGCCUGUUUGAGUAUCAUGAACACCUCAACUCUUUAUGGUUUUCCAUGAUGAGCUUGGACUUUGGGGGUUUUGCUGGCCUAUGGUCGGCUCCUCUAAAAUAAAUCAGCUUACCGGUGUUUGGUGGGUAUCAUGGGUGUGAUAACUAUCUACGCUUGUGGUUUUUCCACCAGGUAACCUUCGACAGCGGAGGUUCACUGGAGCUCAUAGAUGUCUCUCCUCAGCGAGGACAGCCCUUUGAAUGUUUGAUCUCGAAUCAGGUAGGACUACCCGCUGAACUUAAGCAUAUCAAUAAGCGGAGGA